This is a long non-coding RNA of Vidua chalybeata, 3584 nucleotides long. RefSeq lists it as uncharacterized. The record is from RefSeq and is a predicted model, not a curated record. Lineage: Eukaryota; Metazoa; Chordata; Aves; Passeriformes; Viduidae. The transcript is spliced from 4 exons.
GCGAGAGCAGAAGGGCAGAGCUCCAGCCGCGCCGGGCUGGGGAGCUCCUCUGUGCAGAGCACACGCUGCUGGCUUCAUUUUGGGGGGUCUCCUCAAAGAUCCUGAUGCAGGCACUUGGGUGAAAGUUUUCAUUUCCUUGGACUGUAAAUGUUCUUUGGAGCCUCAGGCAGUUCCCUGCAGCAGAACUUGGAGGAGAAACUUGUCAAAAACUCUCUGCUUGGACAGCAGCCCUGGAGUGUGAGUGUGUGGGGCCCCUGCAUGAGCCCUGUGCCCACAGCAGGGCAGGCAGCAGCCCCUGAGCCUGGCAAUGCAGAGCCCCUGCUCCCAGGGAGCUUCCUUUGCCUCACGAGGAGAUACUGGAGGUAAAACUUGGAGUCCUUGAAGCUUUCUGUCACUGUGAAGGUUGUGCUGAUGGCAAAGUCCCACGUGUGUGAGUUCUGUGAAGGAAUGCUUUGCCAGGAAGGUGGUGGCUGCCUUGGAUCACGUUGCAUCCACUUGCUUACACCUUCACCCUGGCUGGCAGUGGGAUUGAGGAGGAACUGCAGACUUUGAGGCAGUAUUUGGAGCCCCUUGUUCAGAGGGGCCUGAAUGCAGCCUCCCCUCUCCAAAUCCACCACCAGCUGCUCAGUGAAAGGGGCUGUUGUUUCUCUCUCAGUUCCCUGCCUUGCAGAGCCUGUGUCCCCCCAGCAGUGCUCCUUGUGAUGCCACAGUAGUCACAAAGUAGGUCAAACACCAUCUAAACCCUGGCUUGAUAUCCCUUGAGCUAAAUUCCUGCCCUGCCUGAAUGUGCCCCAGAGGGGGUUAAGAGUCAUGGCUUAUGGGCAGCUAAGAAAGAUGAGCAGCUUUGCAGUAGGUGUGUAAACAGCUCUGGGCAGCCUGGGCUCCCUGCCCUGCCAUCCCGGCUCCCUGCCCUCCCAUCCUGGGCUCCCUCCCCUGCCAGGCCAGUCCUGGCUUAUCUCGCCCAGGGAAGUGUCCAACCCAUGUGCUUUCAGGGAAUUAGUAAGGUUGGAAAAGACCUCCAAGAUCAAGUGUAACCUUUGACCAAACACCACUGUGCCGGCUAAGCCAUAUCAGGAAGUACUACAUCCACUGAUUUUUUGGCCACUCCCAGGGAUGGUGACUCCAGCACUGCCCUGCUACUCCCACCAGGUGAUUGGUGACACCAGCUCUAGCAGGGCUGAAGAGGGUGAGAACCUCGGGCCAUCCUGGCUCACCUGAACCUUGGUCCAUGUGUUACAUGUUUCACCUCUCACUUCUCUGGGUGCUGCAGCCAUGGGGUAACACCAGUGCUGUGUGUAGCAGCAAUUUGGCCAGCACCUCUCUGACAAGGGCAACAACAAAACACCUGGACAACUGAGUUAUUUCCCUCACAUCCCAAGCCCAGAGCUUUGGGAAACCUCAGUGAAAGUUACAGGAAUGUUUGUCUGUGGCUGCCAGCCUGUCCUUCAUGCUGUCAGUGGAAGGGCCCAGAUUAUUUGUGUGUCUCAAGAUUCUUUUGAGUCUCUGCAGAUGAAAAUCUGUUCUCCUGGUGAAUGCAGUGGUGACUCAGCACUAGGGAAGGAGGGAAGAUGACCUUAGGAAAGUCUUUUUACCCCUGUGCUCUGGAGAUGUCCAGGAAAGGAAAGAAGAUUGAGUGGGGAAAAAUAUUAGCCCUUAGCAGAAAGAGGCUUUAUGAGGAGCCCAGAGCUUAAUGCCAGGGUGAUGCUUCAGGUUUUAGCUUUUCUAUGUUUCAGAUUCUGUGCUGCUUUAGUGUGUACUUCUGAACUUCAUAUUAGAAGAUAGCGAGUUCUCUUCACAGAGCAGAGAGACAAAACAAUUCCUGCUCUAGCUGGGGACCAAGGACAAAUGAUCCAAAUCUCAGGCCCAAGAGCACAAACAACGUGAAGAGAGAAAACCAAGAAGGAUGGGAUUUCAUAAGCUAAAGCUGUAACUGGACAAUUAACUCCAAUAAGCAAAUGGACCAGAACUUAUAAAACUGAGAGAUCCCAUGACCAGUUGUGCAUUUUGUGACCAUUUUGAGUUCACCUGGGGUGUAGCCCUGGCUGGGCUCCUGUGAUGCCCAAGGUGGAUCCACUGAGGCCUCCUAAUAAAUCCCUGCUUUAUUCUUUAGCUCUGUCUAGUCUCUGUUCUAGGUCAGCCUUCCCAAGGCAUCACAGGGAGGGCUGCAAGCUCUGGGGUCUGGCACACAGCAGCCUCAGGCCUUGCUCCCAGCUCUUUCUGCAGGAGACAGCUGGAGCUGCAGGAGUUUCCUUCCUGCCCUUCCAGGGUCAGGGGUUGCAUGAGGAGAAGAACAACCCAGGACUCUGGCAGGUGUGGAAGUGACAAUUCCAGCAGUAGAAGAGUCAGCCCUGCAGCAGCAGCAGCUACAGUAGAAGCAACCCCUCCCUGCUACAGGCCUAUGGAGAAUGCAGCACAGAAGGUGACAAGUGACACCCUCUGAGCAUCCCAGUGACAAUGGGCCAGCAGCAGCAAAGACCACCGUAUUGGGGCACAUCUCUAAGCCCAGCCCUGUUCUGGUUUUGUCCUGGUCCCCCCAGAGGGACUGUGGCUGGUGUUGGUCACUCCUUUUAUCUGCCAGUGCGUGGCUGUGGCUGAGCUGCAGCUGGGAACCCAGCCAGGGGAAAGCAGCUGAUUCUCCUUCAGAACAGAGACUUGCACAUUAAUAAAUGUCUCAUUACAGAUGCUUUCUUCAGCCUCUUGGCUCUCAUUUCCUCUUUCAGCUUCCCCAGCUUUCUCUCCUGCUGGCUGGAAAGCUGCCUGUCUCCUGUGAGAGCUAAGGAAUGUUGGAACAGGGCCUGGUGUAGCUCUGUCCUUGCAGGUGAGGUGCUGGACAAGCCAUGUAUUUUCUUCAGUGUGUCCUGACAUCCCAUGUCCUGCUCUGGCUCUAUUUCUGUAGAUCCUGCUGUGGCUUCCAGGGACAUGUUUGAGUCACUUUGGAAAACACCUGCCAACUGUCAAAACCAGCUGAGAGGAGAGGAACCACUUCCUUGGGGUAACACAGCUCAGGGCAGGGCAGUUUGUUCACUGAACUCCCAACACGAGAAAAUGCUGAAUAAGCUCCUGAAAACCCACAAGAAAUGGUCGGUUAGGAUGAAAUUCUCUUUUCCCAAAGCAAGUGCUCCACUAUUACUCAGAAAGAGCCACAGCCAGGAUGGGGGUGGGUCAGGGCUCCCCCAGUGCCUGCUGAGGUUUAGGAUUGUUCACUGGGGCUUUCCACAGUGACACAGAACCCCUGAACUUCUUCCCACAGCCCUGGAGCAACCCCUGAACUUCUUCCCACAGCCCUGGAGCAACCAGUGCUGCAGGAGCAGGAGAGCCCCUCCAAACCACAUCCCUCCCUGCUCUGCCUGCAGCUGCUGCUGCUGCUUGAGUCAGUUCCUGGGGAAGAGCAAACCAGCAAGGCAGCUUGUUCUGCCUGCAGCACCAGUCCAGGGGCAUGGACAGAGCCUGACCUGCUGCAGAAAAGUUCUCAUUCAAAGCCUGGCCCCAGAGCAGCAAGAGCCAUCUUUGCUUCAGGAUUUUGGGAAUGAGCUCAGCAGGGAAGAAGUGCACAUGGUGCAGGAAGUUUUACCUGAACCUUUGGG